CCCUUAGAUGUCCUGGGCCGCACGCGCGCUACACUGAUGCAUUCAACAAGUUUUACCUUGGCCGAGAGGCCUGGGCAAUCUUUUGAACCUGCAUCGUGAUAGGGAUAGAUUAUUGCAAUUAUUAAUCUUGAACGAGGAAUUCCUAGUAAACGCAGAUCAUCAAUCUGCAUUGAUUACGUCCCUGCCCUUUGUACACACCGCCCGUCGCACCUACCGAUUGAAUGGUCCGGUGAAGCCUCGGGAUUGUGGCGAGUUCCCUUUAUUGGGAGUUUGUCGCGAGAACUUGUCUAAACCUUAUCAUUUAGAGGAAGGUGAAGUCGUAACA
Molecule: ribosomal RNA, 325 nt
Filed under: uncultured eukaryote
Lineage: Eukaryota
Description: partial 18S ribosomal RNA
Rfam family: Eukaryotic small subunit ribosomal RNA
Source: RNAcentral